Molecule: ribosomal RNA, 681 nt
Filed under: Triticum aestivum (bread wheat)
Lineage: Eukaryota; Viridiplantae; Streptophyta; Magnoliopsida; Poales; Poaceae
Description: partial small subunit ribosomal RNA
Source: RNAcentral
AUGUUUCUAAUAAAAAAAGGAAAUUCUGGAAGAAAGCCUAAGGACAUUAAUCUAGAAAAAAUCCUAACGAUCCCAUUAAACAAAAGGUCUACCAUUAGGUCACUUGCUUGGCAACUGGGGUGUAGCCCUACCACACUUCAUAGAAAGUUCAUGUUAAACUUGAUAAGGAGGCAUACAAACUGCGUGAAGCCAGCUCUAAAGGACCAGAAUAAGAAGGAUAGGAUGAAAUUUUGUUUGUCGAUGCUUGAUGAGGCAACAACAGCAACACCAAGGCCUAAGUUCAAGACUAUGCAUAAUGUUGUCCAUAUUGACGAGAAGUGGUUCAACAUGACCAAGAAGAAUAGAACCUAUUAUCUGCUGGACGGGGAGGAAGAGCCUACAAGGCCUAUACAUGGCAACUGUAUUGGAAAGGUGAUGUUCUUGACGGCCAUUGCUAGGCCGAGGUGGGACAGUGAAGGAAACGUGACCUUCUCUGGGAAAAUCGGUAUCUGGCCAUUCGUGAAAGAAGUUCCUGCUCAAAGGACAAGCGACAACAGGUCCAGAGGUACAAUAGAGACAAAAUCAAUAAAGGUCGACAGAAAAGUGAUGAGGGAGUUCCUGAUAGAGAACGUCUUGCCAGCAAUACAAGCUGUUUGGCCUGAAGGCGAUGCUGGACAAACCAUCUACAUUCAGCAGGAUAAU